Molecule: ribosomal RNA, 253 nt
Filed under: uncultured bacterium
Lineage: Bacteria
Description: partial 16S ribosomal RNA
Rfam family: Bacterial small subunit ribosomal RNA
Source: RNAcentral
UACAGAGGGGGCAAGCGUUGUUCGGAAUUACUGGGCGUAAAGGGCGCGUAGGUGGCCUUCUAAGUUGAACGUGAAAUCCCUGGGCUCAACCCGGGAACUGCGUCUGAUACUGAGUGGCUUGAGUGCAGGAGAGGAAUGCGGAAUUCCAGGUGUAGCGGUGAAAUGCGUAGAUAUCUGGAGGAACACCGGUGGCGAAGGCGGCAUUCUGGACUGUAACUGACACUGAGGAACGAAAGCCAGGGGAGCAAACGGG